AAUAGAUACCCCGGUAGUCCACGCCCUAAACUAUGUCAACUAGUUGUCGGGGAAGAAAUUCCUUGGUAACGCAGCUAACGCGUGAAGUUGACCGCCUGGGGAGUACGGCCGCAAGGUUAAAACUCAAAGGAAUUGACGGGGACCCGCACAAGCGGUGGAUUAUGUGGAUUAAUUCGAUGCAACGCGAAAAACCUUACCUACCCUUGACAUGUACGGAAUUCCGCAGAGAUGUGGAAGUGCCCGAAAGGGAACCGUAACACAGGUGCUGCAUGGCUGUCGUCAGCUCGUGUCGUGAGAUGUUGGGUUAAGUCCCGCAACGAGCGCAACCCUUGCCAUUAGUUGCUACAUUCAGUUGGGCACUCUAAUGGGACCGCCGGUGACAAACCGGAGGAAGGUGGGGAUGACGUCAAGUCCUCAUGGCCCUUAUGGGGUAGGGCUUCACACGUAAUACAAUGGUCGGUACAGAGGGCUGCCAACCCGGCAAGGGGGGAGCUAAUCCCAGAAAGCCGACCGUAGUCCGGAUUGUAGUCUGCAACUCGACUGCAUGAAGCCGGAAUU
This 558-nucleotide ribosomal RNA is filed under the name uncultured bacterium. RNAcentral describes it as "bacterial SSU rRNA". It matches the Rfam family "Bacterial small subunit ribosomal RNA", at positions 777 to 1333 of the family's 1533-position model. The record is from RNAcentral.